This 434-nucleotide ribosomal RNA is filed under the name uncultured bacterium. RNAcentral describes it as "bacterial SSU rRNA". It matches the Rfam family "Bacterial small subunit ribosomal RNA", at positions 29 to 507 of the family's 1533-position model. The record is from RNAcentral.
AACGAACGCUGGCGGCAGGCUUAACACAUGCAAGUCGAACGGGUGUAGCAAUACAUUAGUGGCAGACGGGUGAGUAACACGUGGGAACCUUCCUAGGGGUACGGAACAACUCAGGGAAACUUGAGCUAAUACCGUAUACGUCCGUGAGGAGAAAGAUUUAUCGCCCUUAGACGGGCCCGCGUCGGAUUAGCUAGUUGGUGGGGUAACGGCCUACCAGGGCGACGAUCCGUAGCUGAUCUUAGAGGAUGAUCAGCCACACUGGGACUGAGACACGGCCCAGACUCCUACGGGAGGCAGCAGUGGGGAAUCUUGGACAAUGGGCGCAAGCCUGAUCCAGCCAUGCCGCGUGAGCGAUGAAGGCCUUAGGGUUGUAAAGCUCUUUCAGGGGGGAAGAUAAUGACUGUACCCCCAGAAGAAGCCCGGCUAACUCCGUG